This is a long non-coding RNA of Sander lucioperca (pikeperch), 398 nucleotides long. RefSeq lists it as uncharacterized. The record is from RefSeq and is a predicted model, not a curated record. Lineage: Eukaryota; Metazoa; Chordata; Actinopteri; Perciformes; Percidae. The transcript is spliced from 3 exons.
CAUUAACCACAGGAGGAAAUAGAGGAGGGCAUCGAUAUGAGUCAACAUUGUGGGUUUCUAUUCCCACGUUACCCACAUUGACACAGAGCAGCCGAGUUCCUGUUCUCAUUUCAGAUGAAAACUGUGGUCACUGAUCAGUCACGUCAGUCUGCGUGAGGGUGAAUAUCUACCUGCUCGUCUUAGUGCUUGGCUAUAAGGCCGCUGCAGGAAUAAUCCAUGAAAUAGUUGAAGAAAAGACUAUGUGCGUCUGCCAUGUCCUCACUCUGUGGAGGGAGACGUGACGUGGAGCAGAGAGAGGAAUGGAGACACAGUUAACAUACUGACAGUUAAUGACUCUGGAAGAUACUUCUGUAACAGUGAAGCAGCUGCAGAUCUGACGGUGAUCCCAUCAGGUAACA